UCGGGAAUAUUGCGCAAUGGAGGAAACUCUGACGCAGUGACGCCGCGUAUAGGAAGUAAGUUUUUCGGAAUGUAAACUAUUGUCGUUAGGGAAGAGAAAGGACAGUACCUAAGGAGGAAGCUCCGGCUAACUACGUGCC
RNAcentral lists this ribosomal RNA (139 nucleotides) under uncultured bacterium. Its description in RNAcentral is "partial 16S ribosomal RNA". It matches the Rfam family "Bacterial small subunit ribosomal RNA", at positions 355 to 509 of the family's 1533-position model. The record is from RNAcentral.